AUUUCCUUCUAUCCUGUCCUUAAUUUAGUUUUGAAAUCACAUUUGAUGAUUCAUUUCACAAUUCCCAAUAUGUUGAACUCCCGGCCAUUUGUUGACUUCAGUAUUCUUAAUGCUAAUAAUCUCACGGGAGAGUUGCCACUCGCUCUCACUAAUCUGACCAAAUUAACGGAACUUAGGAUUAGCAGUAACAACUUCAUCGGAAAAAUACCUGACUUUUUCCAUAGUUGGAAAAACCUUCAGAAAUUGGACAUCCAAGCUAGUGGUCUCUAUGGGCCCAUUACUUCUAGUAUUUCAGUCCUUAGUAAUUUAACUGAGCUAAGAAUUAGUAACCUACUUGGUGACGGUUCUAAAUUUCCGCCCUUGAGUAACAUGAGGGGAAUGACAAGAUUAAUGUUGAGGAGCUGCAAUCUCUCUGGAUCAAUCCCUGCAUAUAUAUCACAAAUGCCAGGACUCAAAAUUUUAGAUCUCAGCUUCAAUAGAUUAGAAGGAAAUGUUCCAGAUUUUAAAGAUCUAGCAAAUCUGGAAUACAUGUUUCUGACAAGCAACUUGCUCACUGGGGCUAUUCCGGAGCGGAUCCUAGACAGAGAUCCUCGCGACCAACUAGAUCUUUCUUACAAUAACUUUUCAGAAAGCUCUAUGGGACCUACUUGUCGAGAUACCCUAAAUGUGUUUGAAAGCUCUCUUGGAUGGGACAACUCAAAUACUGGGGAGUGCCAAAAGAACAUUCCUUGCACAAAAGACUGUUAUUCUGUGCAUAUAAAUUGUGGCGGAAAAGCUAUCACCAGUGGAAACAUAAAGUACAAAGAGGAUCAGGAUGUAGCAGGUCCGGCAAAAUUUGUUCUCGUGAGUGAGAACUGGGGAAUAAGUACAAGUGGACUAUUUUGGGAUACUAACAGUGCCUCAAAUGUAUACAUAGCAAACAAUGUAUCAACACUCAGAAUGAACAGUUCUGAAUUAUACACGAGUGCACGCCUCUCUCCCCUUUCUAUCACCUAUUAUGUGUGUUGCUUGGCAAAUGGGAAUUAUAGCGUGACAAUAUCCUUUGCAGAGAUAGUAUUCAGGGAGAAUAGAUCCUUUUAUAGUCUUGGAAGACGGAUAUUUGAUGUUUAUAUCCAGGAAAAACUGGUGUUAAAGGAUUUUGAUAUUGAAAUUGCCGCACAAGGGGUUGAUAAAAGUGUGUCUAUGGCAUAUAAAGCAGUUGUGAGCAAUAAAGUUUUACAGAUCCACUUCCAUUGGGCUGGAAAAGGGACGACAGCUGCUCCAAAGAGAGGAAUGUAUGGUCCUCUCAUAUCAGCCAUCUCUGUGGAAUCUGAUUUCAGUCCCCCUGUGAAGGUUGAGAUAUUUAUCGUGAUUGGAGCUGUAGUAUCAGUGCUAUUCCUCAUUCUAAUGAUUCUAGGUAUUCUUUGGUGGAAAGGAUGCAUAGGAGACAGGAUAUCAAGGGAAGAAGAACUGAGAGGAUUAGAUCUGCAAACUGGUUUUUUCACUUAUAGGCAAAUCAAAGCUGCCACUACUAACUUCGAUGCUGCAAACAAGAUUGGGGAAGGAGGUUUUGGAUCUGUCUACAAGGGCAUACUGUUAGAUUAUACCAUCAUUGCAGUUAAGAAACUUUCUUCAAGAUCAAAUCAAGGAAAUCGUGAAUUUGUGAACGAAAUUGGCAUGAUAUCUGCUUUAAAACACCCGAAUCUUGUUAGAUUGUAUGGAUGUUGUGUUGAAGGAAGUCAACUAUUCUUGGUAUAUGAAUAUAUGGAAAACAAUAGCUUAGCACGUGCUUUGUUUGAGGAUACAUGGCACCCGAAUAUGCAUUAUGGGGUUAUUUAACCUACAAGGCAGAUGUCUAUAGUUUUGGAGUAGUUGCGUUGGAAAUUGUUGCAGGGAAAAACAACAUGAAAUAUCGACCAAAUGAGAAUUAUGUAUGCCUUCUAGAUUGGGGCCUUGUUCUACAAAGAAAGGGUGAUCUAAUGGAGCUAGUAGAGACCCAAAGCUAGGCUCCGAUUUCAACAAGGAGGAGGCUAUUAGAAUGAUCAAAGUAGCUCUACUUUGCACCAAUCCAUGUCCAGCGCUUAGAAUCACCAUGUCUGCAGUGGUAAGCAUGCUCGAAGGCCGAACUGUUGUUAAUGAAGAUAUCAUGGAUCCAAGUAUAUAUGGUGAUGAAUAUAGGUUUGAAGCUUUAAGAGGCCAGUUUGAUCAGAUCCAACUAGUAAGGAAGAGCUUAAGUGGAGCUGAGAGCCUAAUUCAUUCGUCAUCAGAUCCGGCAUGGAUUGGAACUUCUUCUUCUGCCCAGGACCUCUAUUCAAUCAAUCUUGAUAGUCGAUAAUGUUAACAAAUAUUUUUCUCACCAUGGAAACUGAUUUUUAUAAUGAGAAGGGCUAGAUUUAUAAAGAAAUCUUACAAUAGCAAAUUUAGAGAAUUAUGUGGUUUGAUGUGAUACGUUAAAUCAAUUUUAUAAUAAAAAAUAUUUUUACAAUCUAAUAUGUUACAUCAAAUUAUAUAAGUUUGUAAAUUUACUUUUGAAAGAUUUCUUUGUAAGAAUUUUUUUUUCUAAUAAGUAGGUAGAUACUAUUUUUAUUGGUGAUCCAAUAGCUAAUGAAACAGCCAUGUGCUUUUUAAGUUCAUAAUGCUGCCUGAGGGUUUUGGAAGAACAGUGAGGAAACUUUUAUGUAUAAAUUAUAUAUAAAAUUGUAUAAUUGUAUCAAAUUGUACUUUUCUUA
Molecule: RNA transcript, 2708 nt
Organism: Carya illinoinensis
Lineage: Eukaryota; Viridiplantae; Streptophyta; Magnoliopsida; Fagales; Juglandaceae
Gene name: probable LRR receptor-like serine/threonine-protein kinase At1g07650
Exons: 17
Source: RefSeq, a predicted model, not a curated record